Molecule: long non-coding RNA, 3861 nt
Filed under: Olea europaea subsp. europaea
Lineage: Eukaryota; Viridiplantae; Streptophyta; Magnoliopsida; Lamiales; Oleaceae
Source: RNAcentral
AUGUUGAAAAUAGAAGUACAAAAGGGGUCGAACAUUAAACUGUACGUGUAAUUUAUUGUUAGAAAUUUAGUGAAAAUAUAGGGAUUAUCUGGACUUAUAAGUUAGGCGGUGUAGAUUUUAUAAUCAUGAAAUAAGAUGGGGACCAUUGUCUUUUCCAUUAUUGUAAUUGAAUUACUUUUUUUGUAGGUAAUUUUAAUUUUUUUUUAUUUAAGCUUUCUUUAUUAUAUAUUGGGUCUUGAUAAAUUAUGUUUUUUGAUGGUCAGUUUAAUUUACUACUCUUUUUGUCCCUCUUUUUUUUAUUAAGGGACUACUACCAAUUAUUAAUUAUCUCUUUCUAUUUUUCUUAAUCAUUAUUUGCUUAAUCUAUUGCUACUAAAAUUUCAUGGAGGUAACUCUAUUUCUCAUUAGCUUCUAAUGGCUUUUUCUCCACAUUUUUACCAUUUAUGUUUAGCAUAAUAGGUCUUGCUAAUAUUCUUAAUACAGAUAGUAAAACUUAUUAGCCAACUAGUAAAUUUUCCCAUUCAAUACUCUUUCGACUAAAUGUUCCCUUUUUUCUCUUCAUCCUUCGUAUUGGAAGAAUAGACAAAAAAGUUGAUGUUAUUCAACCUAAGACCUAUUUAAAUGUAGCAAUAAAAAUGAAAAUUUUUCUAUUGGAUAAUUACAGUAGUAUCACAGAAUUGAAGUCCUUAAAACAUUUCAACAAUAAAUUGUUACAUGAAUAAGAUAACCUUCGAUUGAGAAAAAUACUAUUUGGUUGAAAUAAAUACUUGAAACUUUUAGUAGAAUUGGUAUCAUGUACUAAUAUCCAGAAAAGCAAAACAACUGCACAUCAUCAGUUACUCGAUAAUGCAAUAGUAAUUAUGAACUGAUAAAAAAAAAUCUUGACAUCCUAGAGCCAAGUUAAGGGAAAAAUGAACUUCUUAAUCAAAAUGAUCAAUCUUCAAGUCAAUAGCAUGCUAAAAGGUAAGGUAGCACAUAAUUUCUAUAAAAUAUCAUGUUUCAAUUUUGUUGAUAAUUGUCUCUUUUAUUGUGCUUUUUUCUUGAACAAAUAAAGGCUUUCGAUUACUGUUGAACAUUUAAUGUAUAUAUUUAUCAAUUGUCUCUGUAGUAUAAAUAUUAUGUCAAACAGGGUUGAUCUACCACACCAUUUCUUUACAAUUAUUGCAAGUUCAUUGGGCCAUAACGAUCGUCUGGUGAGUUCUAAAAUGAUCUCUUUGUUAGCAUUUAUUUAUUGGGCCAUAAUAUUCGUUUGGUGAGUUCUAAAACUAAAUAUAAAGUAAAUAAUAUUCCUUAUAAGACUUAUAUUUUUUUAUAGUCGACACCGAGAACUUUUGUACAACGCUUGGGACACGAUCUUACUCAUGCAGUACGUUUGAUUGGUUAUGAUGACAUUAUCCGUAGCAUACAACUCGAAAGAGUUGAUGAUAACAUAUAUCUUGCUGCUGGACGGCCACAGUUUUUUAACCACCAUAAUUUGCAAAAUGGUUAUGUUAUUGUCUUUGAAUACCAAGGAAAUUCUACUUUCGAUGUUUCGAUAUUUGACCAUUCAAGCGUAGAAGUGACGUAUUAGUCUGAGGGAUUUGAGGUAGAGCUUUCACAUAGUGGUAAUCCUAUUUUCCGAGUAAUAUUAGAGGCUGCUCGCGAUGGUUAUAGAAUAAUUGUGAGCUCCUCUUUCACUUGAAUCUCUUUUAUCUUUAUCUUUCUCAAAUUACACGUAUGAACAAUUUUCAUAUUUGUUUUUCUCAUCUAAUUUGAAAUUUCACGACUUAUAGAUUUGUCAUUCUAUUUUGUAGUAUGUACCUAGAGCCUUCGCUCGAUUGUAUCUACCAAAAUUUGUACAGAGUGUUCAAAUCCAUGAUAGUUCACAUUAUAAUUGGUUAGUGCAAACGAAUCUAAGAACCAAUGGUUAUGUAUGACAUUUCACCGUAGAUUGGGCAGAUUAUGUUAGGGAGAAACGGUUUCAAAUACGUGAAACAUGUGUAUUUGAACUUAUAGACGAUGAAAUCCCAAUGUUCGUGGUUUACAAAGUGUGUCGCACUGAUGGGACUAUUACAUAAAUUGUACAUCUUCAUUCGUAGCUUUCACGUUUGCUUAUUAUGGAACAUCUGUUAUGUUCUCUUAUGCAUGAACACUAUAUAACUAGAUCCAUUGGGAUUUUGACUUGUAAUUUGCUUAUGUUCUUCUUAUUUCAAGAUCGCAUCCAAUUUGAAGAUUCUGUUCAUUUUGAAUAGGUUGUAACAGAAAUUUGAUUUAAUUACAUAUAAUUAACCUAUAUGUUGAUGUCCUACAUUUGGACUUCAUGCAAUGCUACAUCAUCGUCAUUUGGAGUUUGACAACCUUCUAGCUAAAAUUAUUUCAAGUAAGUAAACAAUUUUAUGAUUUGUGAUUUUAUAAACAAUAUACAAAAUUAUUUAUUCCCACUCUUAGUGUCUCCACUUUUUUUGCAGGUACAUUUAGAGAGUCAAAUAUUGGCAAUAGUGUUUGAGCCAUUUCCAAAGCAUUUAUCACUAAGUUUAGAAAGAACUCUUCUAAAAGUCUACCAUAAUUUAAAGGAGCAAUCAAAUAUCUUCACGAAAACUUCUCUUUUGUUUAUAGUUACAAAAUGAACAAGAUAUAGCUCAAACCAACAAUGACUUUUCUGUUAAAAUAUUUGAUUGAUCUUUUAAAUUAUAUUUUGCUUUUGGGAGACUUUUUCUAAUUUAGUGAUGAUUACUUUGGAAGAGGUGUAAACUCUAUAUUUCAACAUGAUAUUACAUUGAGGUGAUUCUUUAACUAACAUUUAUUAAAUGACAUUUUUUUCCAUGGUGUCAUUUGCUACUUUUGUGUUCUAUUUUAGAAUGGACUUCAAAAGGACAAUUUAAUCGACCCUAAUUACCGGUCAAUACCUGCCUAGUCGCGCAAAAUCCAUUAAAUUUUUCUUUAUUUAUACUCUUACUAAUAUUAUGCGGGUAAAUGAGUGAGAUCUAAUCUUAAUGAGAUUGGUUAUGACAUUAAUUUAGUCCAUGAGAUAGUAUCCGACUUGGUAAGCUACCACAGCAUGAUUGUUUAGAUGUGAUGUAAUUUUCUUUUUGCUACAUUUUUGUCUCACAAUAAUUCAUUCUAAAUAUCUUUAUGAGUGUAGGAAGCUUUUUAUGAUUAUAAUGGCCCAUCUAAUGGAUGAUCAAGUCAUAACAAAAGGAAAACUUCAUUCAUCAUCAUCAUACCAGUUUGAAGACAACAUCAAUGCCACAAUAUAAAAAUUUUAUUUGCUCAUUUUGUCCUUUCCAUCUAAAUGAUUCUACCACAACCACCUCCAAACAUUUGUUUUAUUUGAUAGUACUGAUAACAAGAACUUUGCGAGGCUUUUGGCUUGUAACUUUGUUCUAUUUUGAAAUACUACUUGUGUGAAAAGUCUUCCAUGAAGUUUGAGCUUAACAACAAUGUAUAAUAAGUUUCAUGAUGCUUUAGCUUCUAACUUGACUAUGAUGAUAUCAUGAUUCUUUAGCUUCUAACUUGACUAUGAUGAUAUAAAGAGUGCAUCUUCUGAAACAUAUAGGUCAUCAUUCAUUUGCUUCUUACAAUAUUUGUUUUAGUCCAUUAGUUAACAUUUUAUUAUGAACCAUUAAUAGAAUUCUUUUUCAAAUUGAUUCCUCCAUCAUAGCUCUAUCUUUUUUAAGUUGCCGAAAGUAAACUUUGCACAAUUUGAUUAUUCCAUCAAAACUUCUCUUUCCCUUCUCCAUUAUCAACAUUACAAAAGAAGAUUUGAUUAUUGGUAUCUAGAAAAUAACCAAUACCACUCUACGCUAUUACAUACUUAACUAUACUAUAACACGUGCCUUGCACGUGCGACCCACUAGUAUAAUAAAAAAAUGUAACUUACAU